GAAACUGGGGAGCAAAGAGGCCACACAAACUGUUAACUGUCCAGGGAAGCACUGGCAGAAUAGGGCGGAGGCGGCUUGUAGGAGGCGGGGCCGCUUUGGUGUGUGGGGUUGGGCUUGGAAGAUAUGUUCAUUGAUCAGGUAGCAAGAAGGGGCAGCAGAGAGGGGAAAGGUACAAAGGUUUUUAUAAGAUGAUGGGAAAGAGGUUGGCUCAGUGUGCUAAGGCUCCCUGAGUGGGGAAAGGCCCAAUGGCAAGGGUUGAGAGCAAGGCCCUCAGAACAGUCAUGGACUGGGGAGGGGGCUGCAACCGAUCUGUCUGGGGCUGCCAGAAUUGAAUGGAAUCAAGUAAAAAAACACUAAUAGUUAUGCUAAUAUUUGUUUAAAGGCACGAUGGAUGAGAGAUGAAGGCCUGGGAUCUCCAGUUCUGAGAGAACUCCAAGAUGCUAGCUAGUUUGCAAGGCAGUGGUAUGUUAGCAAAAGUAAGUCCACAGAGGAGAGAGAACCCAGGGAUGGAAGGAGCUGGGAUAGUCAGCUUGCUGGACACACUUUAAGAGGAAAAAACGAAUGGCACAGGAGGGAGGUUUAAGGAACGGGCUGAUCCUGGUGCGGACCUGCAGCUAAGGCUCGCUGCUCCACUCGCAGAGGGAAGCAGCCCCUGAUGGGAUUCGCUCUGCUGGCUGGCUGAUGAGGAGCAUCCAUCUGCUGAUAAAGCAACGGAACAAGACGUUCCCUUCUGACAAGAAGGCAACCUUCUCAGAUGCAAGAAACAGAUAACCCCACUGCUGCAGAGAGAAGGCUGGUAAACUGGCAAGAAGUGACCAGGACCCCAAGGACUAGCACCAGGAGAGCUGGAACAGAAACUAAAAAAAGAAACAGCCAAGAGCAGACUGAUGAACGUGUGCUGGGGGACCUGAGAUGGGACCUCUGCCACUUUUCCCACCUGCACAUAGUUUAGCCCUUGAGAUUCUUUCACCCUUGAGAAAAGAGCCAGGCACUCUGAAUGACCAGGGACUUGAUAUGUACAGCAGCAGACAAGUGGGCAUAAAGUAGGAAAACCGGGGUCAAAGUGGAUUUGGCCUUCUGAAGAGAAACCCUCCUUUAUUCCUUGAACUUCUAUGGGGGGUGAAGGCCAGAAGGUAUCUAGGGCCAGCGGACAGCCUGAGGAAGCCUUUUGUCUGCUCACUGCCAGCCCUUCUCCAGGGCCCCAGGCCCCAUGACCAGGGGGCCACAUUCUGGAGACUCCUCCACUGCCCCCAGACACAUUAAAAAAUGAUAGAUAACCCAGACACACACCUGUGCUUAAUGUACACAGAAUAACCGUGCAGACUAGCAGUUGGCCCAAAGCCACAGAUCAGAUGAAAUAAUGCCUUGUUUGUUAAAAGGACAAAAAAUAUAUAUUCUGUGCUCACUUUUCCAAGAAGUUAUUUUACAGUUGACCACUCAAAUACCCACACACACAUUCUACAUCAAUUCAAAGAAACAACUGCCUCAUGCCACACUGGGCCCACAGCAAACCCUGCAGAUGGUCUGUGCUCACCCAGCUCCACCGCAUUUGGCCGGAGGUCUCAAUCUGUUUUCUCAGGGUUAUCAGCAUCCUCCUGGCCAUAACACCCAUGUUCACUAGAGCCAAAAAAUUUGGUGCAACUCCCACGGCAACUAGGAUGCCACCUGAGCUAAAAGAAAGGGGUGUCUGGGGCUGUGGAGCCUAGUGCCACCUUGCGCUCUUGCUUUGAGUCGGAAGGACCCUCACAAGUUCUCACUUCCCGCUGAUGCCAACACAUAGUCCUAAUGGUUAUCAAUGACUGGGCUCUGUCCGCACCCACCCACCCUCAGAGGACUCCAAACAUGAAGCUCUUUCCUGUCUUUCAAAAGAGGAUGCUUAACUAAGUGUGGUUGGAGAGAGAGCACUGAAGAACUAAUGCUGUUGCCGCAAAACAGCACGAAGCAGUAUCAAAACACCAGCCCUCAUAUAACAAGGACACCACAGAAGUGCUUAAAGGAGUAGCCUGAAAUAGCCACAGAUAUCAACAAGGUCAGAGUGUAAACGUUUUUAGUGGAAGCUAAGCAUAAAGUCUUGAUUUUUCCAAGGCAUCAGCAUCACUAAGUGCUACAUGCACAACUUGAACUGGAAAUUAUCCUUGUUGCUGUUUGAUAUUCUACUUCCUCUCACCAAACACCUCUUUCUAAAUCAGAGAUGUUACUGGUCUGAAUUCAUUUAAAGAGAUCCCCAGAGCUGGCCCUACUAAUUUAUUAGAGAUUGACCAGGCUGGGAAAAAUAGCACAAUUCCUGGAAAGAGACUGCUUCCUGUAAGGACGACCAAGUUUAUACACAAUUCAGAGGGUUUAAGGGCUGAGAACCCGUAUGUUUCCUCAAGGGCUGUGUCCACAGGCUCCUUCACCAUCUAACUACCCAGCUUUGAGCUUUGAAUGGUUGUCAGCUGUCCAAAAUGAGGACCUCAGUCUGCUAACAGUCCUGUCUAGUCACUGGCAACAUCCCUGGGCCUUAUCAGGUCAGGACAAGCAAGUCCUAGUUGCUCACACGCAGCACUUAUCAUCCUUUAGACACAGAUCCACACCCUCACUCCCAUGUGUCUGUGUGCGAUCUCAGUGAGGAUGCUCACUGCGCACACAGUCCCACCCAGGUUUCAGUUCUGCAUGGACCCCCACUCCCUGUGGAGUUGACACUUGCCCAGCAGGCCCUCGAAUUCCAGGUCCGAGCAUGGUCACAGCCUCAGGGAAACAUCAGUAAACUCAAUAGUCCCUCUGACAUGAGAAAUGCUGCUAAAAGCAGAAAUUUGGGUAGGUGGGCAAAGCGGGGUAAGAUUGAAGUGAAGGAGCAAGAUUAAAAAAGGAAUGUGGUAACUAUUUCUGCACCAACUGCUCCUGAGGUGGCCAAACCACCUUGUCUUUCGAGUUCCUACACAUGUGGAGCUGUCCAAGCCAUGAAUAAAUACAGCUCAUUAGGGUGAUUACCAGUAAAUUAGCAUUUACCAAGUCAUGUGUUGUUGUUAUUAGAUAGCUCUUAGACACCUUUUACUUCAAAGUUAUUUCCUCUUGCAUUUUCAAAUUUUACUUGUUGAUAAACUGUUGGAGUCCUGCUCCCCUAUCAGUCUCAGAAGAUUUUAUCUGCAGUCCUUUAAAAUUCUACUAUCUUAUGAUUAUUCUCUAAGAAACUAUAGAAAAACAGAAGAAUAAAGGCUGGACUAAGAAUCAAACAUCCUGUGUUUUAGAGUCAGGUCAGACUCACAAGUGAAUGAUUAUCAUCAGUAAAUUGGCCCCGAUGACUGAGUUUCCUUUCAUUCUUGCAAAUAUCGUCUGAGUGCCUACUAUGUUCUAAGUGCUGUUCUAGGAGCUCAUGCUCCAUCAGUAAGCAAGAGGCAAAGGUCUCUGCCCUUGUGGAGCUUAUAUCCUGGCUCGCUUUCCUUCCAUAACUUUCUGUUGUUAGCUCUUGCUUUCCACACGUGUAGAAACAGAAUUUGAGAAUGAAACACUGGUGAUGGUCUAGAUCUGCCCUGCCCAAUACUGUAUCCAUAAGCCUUAUUUGACCCUUGAGCACUUGAAAUGGGGCAAGUCUAAAUUGAGAAGUGCUCUGAGUGUAAAUACACACUGGAUUUCAAAGACUCAGUACAAGAAAAAAAGUAAAAUACCUCAUCAAUAUUUUUUGCACUGAUUAUAUAGCAAAAUGAUAUUUUCCAUGAUAGGUUAAAUAUAAUUAUUCUCACCUGUUUAUUUUUAUUUCUUAAUGUGACUACUAGACACUUAACUGUGGCUCUCAUAUUAGAAUGAAGAAACUGAAGCCUGAGAAGGUAAAGAUGCUUGCUGCCAAGUGUCCUCACAACCGAAGGUGGCCUCAGAGGCAGGGAGGAAGUAAGUAUAAAGACUAGCAAAGGCCUAGGGCCCAAGCAUGGGAGACAGCAGUGCUAGUUCCUGGCUGGGCAAUGUUGGGCCAGCACCUGGACAUGGCAGGUGCUAGUGUCCGCUUCAUUCCUACGUGUGGAUCAGAGUUCUUCCUGCUGCAGUUGCCUCACACCUACUCCACGUGAGUGACAGGGCUGGCAGAGACCAGGCAGGGAGAGCCCACUGUGCGGCUCCUAACACCCACCUCUUCAACUAUCAAAAGCACAGGUCAGGGAUAAACAGGGUGUGUUUGGGGGUGAAGGGUAGACAACCAGGUAUUGACUCUUUUCCCACCUUUGUAAGGGCUGAGAAGGUAAGAGAAGCAUAUGGUAACACGAGCGGGUGGGAGCAGUUCAAGAUUCGUGGAUAAUUUUCCUCUCAAUAUGUAUUUACAUAGAGCUAAUGUAGAGACACAAACGGGACUUUUUGUGUUCAUCCAAGCAAAGAUCAAGUUUGAAAAAACUAGAAAAUAAGGUGCAAGGCAAAGCUGUAAUGAAGUGUUGAGGAGGGUAAGUGUUGGAAACACCUUAGGUGGGGUCAGAUCAGAAGUCUCUGAGGAGGACCCAAAACUGGACUGAAAUAUGGUUUGCUGAGGAAGGAGUAGCAUUAAUGUAUUCAAAUAUUUGAGUAUGUAUUCUGCAAGGCAAAGUAGGGCAAUUAGGAAGACUCAUCAAGGGAGGCUGAGAAUAAACAGGUCAGAAAGGUACAGGUUCUGAGAGAGAGCUCAGCUUCCAAAAGGGUAAGCGGUUUGUUAGUGCUUGCGGUGGCAUUCCAGGUGCACGGGACACAGAACUGGCCAGAGGCCGGGAGAAGAGCUCUGCACUGUUCUCAUCAAGUUGCUGUCUAUAGGGCCCUAAAGCAGGUCAGUGAUGGCAGUGGAAACAAAAAGUUAAAAAGAAAGAAUCAGCAGAACUAGCCAGCCAGUAAGCAGAGGGUGGGGGCUGAGCGAGCCCUGUGAGCCGGUAGGGUGGGUGGGCAGGAUAGGGAGUGCUAGAGGGAGAGCUCUGGAGUUCAGCUUGAGGAGUUUCAGCUGCUAGCCAGUAGCAGCCACAGCCCUUCAGCUCCAAACCUACACCCCUGCUGCCUCCACUUAGAAAAAGGCCCAGAAACCACCUUGCAUUUUAGGCUGGAUGCUUUCAAUCCAAAAAGCUCCAGCACUAGGGCCCACCAGAAUGACACCUACUUUAAGCGUGCCUCCCUCUUUCAGAGGAAGGGCACUCAAAUACCAGCAGAGAGUGUAUUCAAUUAGCAGGAGUACCCUCCAGAUGCCAGGCCCUCUCUUGGCACUGGGGAUUCAGCAAUGAGCACAGGCUCCUGCUUCCCUGGCACUCACAUGCCAGUGGCUAGGACACAUGAGCACAAACUAAGUGUCUCAGGUACAUUAUGAUCCAGUUCCUCCUGCAUCCAGAGCCCUUCCACAGGCCUUUUCACACACCAUUCCCUUGGCCUCUACACCUGGCCUAGCAAGCACUUAACUACUAACUGACUCAAUCACUGCUAGCCAAGAAAUAAACACUUUAUGCAGUUUAGUGACCAACACUCCAAAGGGCUCAAGACUAAAAAAUAUCCUACAUAUGUAGGAUUUUAUGUAGAGUUGCCUGACUUCAACAAUUAUUUCUUUAUAUUAGUUUUCUCCUGUUGUUCCAAGAAGUCCUGCAAACAUUUCUCAGACAGGCUACAGGGGCCAGCUGUACAAAAUCUGUUAAUUCUAACUAAUCUAUAAGGUUAUUUCUUACAUAGUUGGGUUAUACAAAGAUGUUUCCUCCAAACCAUUUAAUUCCAAAUAUAAGCUUCCUUAUAAUGCUUCCUAAUAAUAUAAUAAAAGGAUAAAAGAGAUUGAGACAGGAAGUCUCAGAAGUAUAGCAGGAGAUCAGCACUACUGCUGUACACAAGUGGCUUAAACACGUUAAUGUUUCUUUAAACACAGAGGUGUCCACUUCAUCCUCACACAAAUUAUGCCAAUUUAAGGUGCUGUAUAGUCAAAACACCAAGGCGGCAGGACAGACUUACCUCUAUCACCUUGUUUACCUUAGUGACAACACAAAAAAGCAACAGACCUUACCUAACCAAGGAAAUGUUUUAUCCCAAGUUAACACCUCAGACUCUGCAUUGUUUCCCCUUAAGAUCCCUCAACCCCCAAUAGGUACACACACACACACACACACACACACACGAACAGAAACAUCUCAGAGUCUGGUGCGAGGCCAAAAAAAACAAACCCCACAACACAAGUUUAAUCUAACUGAAAUUAGUCAUGGGCUUCCGCAACUUGUCUCAGUAACACAAGCUUUACCACGUCCAUUCAGAGCUCUUGGCUUGUCACUCUUCAGUGACGCCCCAUGCACCACAACAUAUAAAAGAUGAAAGAUAAAAACAAGGUACUACUUGGGCAGUUUUAAAAAUCAUACAAUUGUCUACUUUCCUAUCAAAUGUGUUCACUUACUAGCACUGGGAGAACAGGGCACUAUAGUCCACUCUAAGCUAUCUUUACUGCCAAGCAGUUCCUCGGACUUUCAGAAGUACUACGACUUUUCUGUUCUCUGCUGGAUAGUGCGGGAUGUGUACAAUCUGCCUUGGCCUUGAAUACUGAGGAAGUAGGCUAAAUGGGGCACUACUGGAAAUGGGGUGUGGGGGGGGUUCCUGCAACUCUGGAUGGAAUUCUGGUGAGCUACUUGGACUCACAGUAGAACUGAAGAAACAGUAGGGAGAGCCACCAGGGCUCACCUAGAUCAGGCUCAUUCUGACAGGCCAUGAGCCAAAUCCUUUCCUUCAGAGGUACCUCAACUUAAUCUCUGGAUAUAAGGUAGGUAUUGUGGAAAAAAACGCAACAUGAAGAGUACUGCUGUUGGCUCAGUGUACACACACUCACAUUACUUACAAAAUUAGGGACCUUUAUUUUGGGUGACAAUUUAGAGGCUUUUGGAAAGGAAAAACUUUUUUACCACUUUGAUGUUAUGAGACUCCCUCACAGCUACCUCAACAAUUACAUAAAAAUAUAUCGAAACCUUUCUAAAAACUCCUUAUUGAGAACAAACAUAUGAGUAUACCUUAAGACACAAGGUUUUAGUUAUCUCAAGUAAGAACUUGACUCCAGAAAUAUUGUUUUCUAUCUUCACAAACAAGAAUGUCAAAGGACAGAACCCCUGCUAGUCCAGCUCAGACCCCUUCUAGGAAGUAGGAGAGAAAAGUCAGCAUUCUCUCCUCCCACUCCCCCGCUUCAAUGGCAGGGUCCCCAGUGCAGGUCUCACCCCCUCAGUGGUACCUCUGGGGAUUUCAGACACAGGUCAAUUCUUGGUGAGCACUCCUACCACCCUCAGAGCUGCCUGACUGGCUUCCUUGCCAAGUUACUCAUGUUGAAAGGUUAGUGUAGCCAACAAUGGCCACUCUCAUCCCUCCUGGAGGGCAGCUGGGCCAAGCCAGGAGUUUACUUUAGGAGGAUUUUAUGAUCUUAACUUCAUUUCCUGGGGAGGUUCAGGUUGCUAACCCACCUACCAACUAUCCUGAAUACCCAUUGUUACAAUACAAAUGAUUAGUCUUCAUAAACGUUUACUGUAUUAAGUGCACUUUAAGCACUCCAUCGUUUGCAUGUUAUCACUCCAUAAAAAACAAACUAAAGUUUCAAAAGGCCCCUACUUGAAACAAGGACUUGGCCAGCUCUGCAAAGCCUUCCUCUGCCAAAAAGGAGAGGGGGGCAGGGGACUGCGCUGACCCCUCGCUUGUGGUCCAUCCCUAAACAGGUUCUAACGAGAAUGGGUCGACUCCAGUUCUCCAGAGAAACUCGCAGGCAUUUCUCCGGAAGUCCUCCCUUCGAGGUGGCGGGGUUUUGCUUUCUCGCCCGCCCGCGCUCCGUGUUUUGGUGGCCAGGCUACAAACCUGCACGCGUCAGAUUUGCCACACUCCUCCGACUCCCUUCCCACCUUCCCGAUCUGGCCUGCAACUCCUCCCGGGGCAGCCGCGCCUCUAAGCCCCGCAGCACCGCUAGCCGCGUCAACUGACUGUCAUGGCUUUUAGUUUACAAGGUACGAUUUCAGUGAACUACACAAAGCUUACGGGUACAGACUGAUGAAUUUCUACUUGUGCACAUACAUCCAUGUAACUGCCAUCCGGAUCAAGAUACAGGACAUCUCCAGAUUCCACAGGCGCCUUCCCAUUCAAUAUCCCAUAGAGAAGUACACAGAUAAUAAGAACACAGCUCAAUGACUUUUCACAAGCUGAACAAACCUUUGUCACUUGCACCCAGAUCAAGAAACAAAGAAGAACCACAGCCCUUGGGGACCUGCUCAAUAACCACCACAGCGGCAUCGGCUACAUUCUAGUGAGUCUCUGGUGGGACCAAGGCAUGACUUGGCUUUCCCCUUCCACCUAGAAUUCUCACCAAUAAAUCCCUGUCUCUUCUCAGG
Long non-coding RNA from Manis pentadactyla (Chinese pangolin), 8294 nucleotides. RefSeq lists it as uncharacterized. NCBI's taxonomy places the organism in Eukaryota, Metazoa, Chordata, Mammalia, Pholidota, Manidae. The record is from RefSeq and is a predicted model, not a curated record. The transcript is spliced from 3 exons.